AGCGAACGCUGGCGGCAGGCUUAACACAUGCAAGUCGAACGCCAUCUUCGGAUGGAGUGGCAGACGGGUGAGUAACGCGUGGGAACGUACCCUUUGGUUCGGAAUAUUCUCGGGAAACUGGGAGCAAUACCGGAUAAGCCCUACGGGGGAAAGAUUUAUCGCCAAAGGAGCGGCCGAUGUCAGAUUAGCUAGUUGGUGGGGUAAAGGCCCACCAAGGCGACGAUCUGUAGCUGGUCUGAGAGGACGACCAGCCACACUGGAACUGAGACACGGUCCAGACUCCUACGGGAGGCAGCAGUGGGGAAUUUUGGACAAUGGGCGCAAGCCUGAUCCAGCCAUUCCGCGUGCAGGAUGAAGGCCCUCGGGUUGUAAACUGUCUUUUGUACGGAACGAAAAGGUUUCUAUUAAUACUAGGAGCUCAUGACGGUACCGUAAGAAUAAGCACCGGCUAACUACGUG
This 459-nucleotide ribosomal RNA is filed under the name uncultured bacterium. Its description in RNAcentral is "bacterial SSU rRNA". It matches the Rfam family "Bacterial small subunit ribosomal RNA", at positions 29 to 507 of the family's 1533-position model. The record is from RNAcentral.